GCAUUUCUGUCUGACUUGAGGCUGAAAGUGAUCCUCGUUGUACUGGAAGUUCCAGAAAAAGGCAGUUGAACACGACUAGAGCCACACAUGCGAGAUCCCACUACUUGGGAGGCUGAAGCAGGAGGAUUGCCAUAAAUUCAAGGCCAACCUGAGGUUUUUCGUGCAGCUGUUAGAAAAGUUCUUGGAAAUUUUUCGUGGCACACACCUGCAAUCCUAGGAGAGAGGUAGAGACAAGAGGAUGGGAGUUCAAAGUCAUCACUGCGUGCAUAACCUGCUGGAAGCCAGCCUGGGAUUCCAGAAACUCCCCUCAAAAAUCAGAUUCUCCAGUGGGGAGGAUAGCUCAAUGGGCAACAGGAGUCCUGGGGGAAGCCAGAGUGUGGAGGAGGAACAUCAGAUGCUGAUGCUGAUGCUGAGGACAGAGCCUCCGAGACAGAGCCAGCCUCCUCCCAAGCUCACAGGCAGGAGGGAAGAAGAUUCAUCCUGUGAUAUCCAGAUGGACUGAUGGAAGCCAGCCAGUUAGAGGCUCCUGGAGUGGAGAGUGGGGCUGGAUUUCUGCCUGUAAGGAUUUACGCUAGGGCUGCCAGGAAAAUA
This is a long non-coding RNA of Mesocricetus auratus (golden hamster), 591 nucleotides long. RefSeq lists it as uncharacterized. The record is from RefSeq and is a predicted model, not a curated record. The transcript is spliced from 4 exons. Lineage: Eukaryota; Metazoa; Chordata; Mammalia; Rodentia; Cricetidae.